Molecule: non-coding RNA, 27 nt
Filed under: Homo sapiens (human)
Lineage: Eukaryota; Metazoa; Chordata; Mammalia; Primates; Hominidae
Source: RNAcentral
CGGCAAUGAGCAUGUCACAGUCUGCCA